This is a long non-coding RNA of Paramisgurnus dabryanus, 563 nucleotides long. RefSeq lists it as uncharacterized. The record is from RefSeq and is a predicted model, not a curated record. NCBI's taxonomy places the organism in Eukaryota, Metazoa, Chordata, Actinopteri, Cypriniformes, Cobitidae.
CUCAGGCCAAAAGCGCAGAAGAACAAAAAUGACCGGAAAAUCUGACAGGACUGAGAUGAUGACAACAGCACAGCGGGGUUUUAGAAGCCCGUCAGAGUGAUUUUCUGAGUUCUUUCACAUGCUGUAUGGUCAGCGAAUGGAUGGAUUAUCCAGUCAAGGUACAGAAUGAAAGACUUGACUGAGUUAGAAGAAGCUGGGCGACUCUUCAGAGUGAAGAUGUUAUGAUGCAGUUAUGUCAAAGCACUCGUUUCGGCUGGCCAGAUUGGAACAGACCUGAAUGGGAAGAUGGCAGAGCUAAGACUGACAAUGUCCAGGAAAAAUGUUAACUAAAAAUGAGUGUUUUUCCUCAGCGAGUGAGUUUGGGAAUGUUUUAAAUGUGCCUAAAAGUUUGAAAAUGUAAUACCGAGGGAAAAAAGUGAGCGCUUUGAAAAGGCUUUAAAAAGAAAAUAAAGUCUGAAGUUGAUGGUAAAUGAAUUUAAAGUUUUUACUUGAAAAGUUUGUACUUGUUUGUACUUGUCAAGUCUGUGCUGAAAAAAAUGGAGUAAAGUUUGUAUUUGAAAAGA